AAGGUUUUAAGUUAAUUAAACUAAUAAUCUUCAAAAUUAUAAAUAAAGUAUAUAUUCUUUAAGCCUUA
Molecule: transfer RNA, 68 nt
Filed under: Corythoxestis sunosei
Lineage: Eukaryota; Metazoa; Arthropoda; Insecta; Lepidoptera; Gracillariidae
Description: tRNA-Trp
Source: RNAcentral